Molecule: non-coding RNA, 201 nt
Filed under: Aneurinibacillus sp. XH2
Lineage: Bacteria; Bacillati; Bacillota; Bacilli; Caryophanales; Paenibacillaceae
Also listed under: 1 other name
Source: RNAcentral
GAAUAAAGAGCGGGGAAAGGUGCAAAUUGCCUGUGUGCUUUUUGCUUAAAAGGGAAGAACGGUGCAAAUCCGACGCGGUCCCGCCACUGUAAAUGGGGAGUGACUCCAGCAAUAUACGCCACUGUUUCUGUGAUGAAAUGGGAAGGUAUGGAGAAGCGAUGAUCCAUGAGCCAGGAGACCUGCCUUUCUCUAAGAUGUUUC